CUGCAGUGAUGGGAAUAUUUUUCGUCAACAGCAUUUCACAUAGUGAAUGGUGACAACCUGUUUUCUGAGCAA
Molecule: small nucleolar RNA, 72 nt
Organism: Pelodiscus sinensis (Chinese soft-shelled turtle)
Lineage: Eukaryota; Metazoa; Chordata; Testudines; Trionychidae
Rfam family: Small nucleolar RNA SNORD56
About the family: U56 belongs to the C/D class of snoRNA which contain the C (UGAUGA) and D (CUGA) box motifs. Most of the members of the box C/D family function in directing site-specific 2'-O-methylation of substrate RNAs.
Source: Rfam